Molecule: small nuclear RNA, 161 nt
Organism: Ipomoea triloba (trilobed morning glory)
Lineage: Eukaryota; Viridiplantae; Streptophyta; Magnoliopsida; Solanales; Convolvulaceae
Product: U1 spliceosomal RNA
Exons: 1
Source: RefSeq, a predicted model, not a curated record
CUAUUUACCUGGACGGGGUCAAUGGGUGAUCAUGAAGAUCCAUGGCCUAUGCCGUUGACUUUUAUUGCACUUUGAAAGGGCAUUGGUUUAAGGUCCGCUCAUGUAGUGGAGCUUACGUCAUAAUUUGCGACAGUGGGGGCUUGUGUUCGCGCGGCCCCUUA